This is a long non-coding RNA of Puntigrus tetrazona (Sumatra barb), 540 nucleotides long. RefSeq lists it as uncharacterized. NCBI's taxonomy places the organism in Eukaryota, Metazoa, Chordata, Actinopteri, Cypriniformes, Cyprinidae. The transcript has 3 exons. The record is from RefSeq and is a predicted model, not a curated record.
CAACUGGAAACACUUGUGUUUGUUUUGGUGUAUCUACAGCAGGGAGUUGUGCGUAAGCGUGAGAGGAAUUUUAAGAAUGAAGGAAUCAACGCAACUUACUGGCAUCCAUACCAAGAUUACACAUGCUUUUCCUAUAAUAGGGAGUCGCGCAUAUCUUCAUCUAGAAGAGAGUUCAGAUCUCUGAGUCAUCAAAACGGAGCGCCGGCGCUGCGAUCGAACUGAACAAAAACAGGAUUCGGGGUAAAAAAAGAAACACCACACAAGCACAAAAGCCAAGUUAUGAAUCACGCACAUUAAUCUGCAAAUUUAUGACUCACUGGCUUUUUUGAGAAGCGCGGACUUGUCAGAAUGGUAACGGAAGGGAAAACGUGAGUGGCUUUUUAUGGAAUAGAGCCGUGUUUAAAAGUAAACACAAGGUCAUUUGUGCAAAUGGAUUAAUUUUAAUAAUGACACUAGUAUAGCGGGCCAAAAAUGUUUUUGGAGCAGUGGUAUUAUUUGCAUGAUAAUACAGUUUUUAUUAAUGUUGUGAAUGAUAUUUUG